RNAcentral lists this ribosomal RNA (467 nucleotides) under uncultured bacterium. Its description in RNAcentral is "partial 16S ribosomal RNA". It matches the Rfam family "Bacterial small subunit ribosomal RNA", at positions 28 to 507 of the family's 1533-position model. The record is from RNAcentral.
GACGAACGCUGGCGGCGUGCUUAACACAUGCAAGUCGAACGGAAAGGCCUCUUUCGGGGGGUACUCGAGUGGCGAACGGGUGAGUAACACGUGAGUAACCUGCCCUUGACUUUGGGAUAACUUCAGGAAACUGGGGCUAAUACCGGAUAGGAGCUCCUGCUGCAUGGUGGGGGUUGGAAAGUUUCGGCGGUUGGGGAUGGACUCGCGGCUUAUCAGCUUGUUGGUGGGGUAGUGGCUUACCAAGGCUUUGACGGGUAGCCGGCCUGAGAGGGUGACCGGCCACAGUGAGACUGAGAUACGGCCCAGACUCCGACGGGAGGCAGCAGUGGGGAAUAUUGCACAAGGGGUGGAAGCCUGAUGCAGCAACGCCGUGUGCGGGAUGACGGCCUUCGGGUUGUAAACCGAUUUCGCUCAUGACGAAGCUUUGUGUGACGGUAGUGGGUAAAGAAGCACCGGCUAACUACGUG